Molecule: ribosomal RNA, 265 nt
Filed under: uncultured archaeon
Lineage: Archaea
Description: partial 16S ribosomal RNA
Rfam family: Archaeal small subunit ribosomal RNA
Source: RNAcentral
ACACGACUACAUUAGAUACCCGCGUAGUCCUAGCCGUAAACGAUACUCGCUAGGUGUCGGCCACGGUGCGACCGUUGUCGGUGCCGUAGGGAAGCCGUGAAGCGAGCCACCUGGGAAGUACGGCCGCAAGGCUGAAACUUAAAGGAAUUGGCGGGGGAGCACCGCAACGGGUGGAGCUUGCGGUUUAAUUGGAUUCAACGCCGGAAAUCUUACCGGGACCGACAGCAACAUGAAGGCCAGGCUGAAGACUUUGCCGGAUUAGCUG